AAAUCAUUGAGAGCUUAGUGCUCAUGAGCGACAAAACACCACGCUGUGCCAAUCACAGGUCUCUCUGAGACCAUAUGAUGCAAAUAGUGGAGAUUUACGCCACUGUUUCCUGGAAGUGUGUCCAGUGGCUGUCUGAGUGACCGCCACUAGAGUCAAGGUAACUCUUCAUAGAAAACUUUGCCAUUCUGCAGGAAUUUUCUGCUGCAGUGUUAAUACGGGGUGACAUGGCACUCAGAC
Non-coding RNA from Pelobates cultripes (western spadefoot toad), 237 nucleotides. The record is from the annotation of a GenBank genome assembly. NCBI's taxonomy places the organism in Eukaryota, Metazoa, Chordata, Amphibia, Anura, Pelobatidae.